Galeopterus variegatus (Sunda flying lemur) is the source of this 273-nucleotide long non-coding RNA. RefSeq lists it as uncharacterized. The transcript is spliced from 2 exons. The record is from RefSeq and is a predicted model, not a curated record. NCBI's taxonomy places the organism in Eukaryota, Metazoa, Chordata, Mammalia, Dermoptera, Cynocephalidae.
AUGAUGCCAAUUUGUACACAUUUUUCUUUGGAGCCUAUGCUUGCAGUGAUCAGAAGUUUGAUGAAAAAUCAAGGUUGAAAGACGAAAAAGUGUUACUGUGUAAUUUGCAUGCUGUGAAGGGGCCCUGUCCCAGAUAAAGUGCCAUUGAUCCUUAUUAAACCUCACCUCUGGGCUUGCUUAAAACUAACUGGAAAAAUUAAAGUGUUUUCAUGCUUGUGUGGUAGGAUUAUGGAAAAAAUAAUAAAAGUAAUUUCCAGGAGAGAAUUUAUAACA